Molecule: ribosomal RNA, 468 nt
Filed under: uncultured bacterium
Lineage: Bacteria
Description: partial 16S ribosomal RNA
Rfam family: Bacterial small subunit ribosomal RNA
Source: RNAcentral
GACGAACGCUGGCGGCGUGCUUAACACAUGCAAGUCGAACGGAAAGGCCCUGCUUUUGUGGGGUGCUCGAGUGGCGAACGGGUGAGUAACACGUGAGUAACCUGCCCUUGACUUUGGGAUAACUUCAGGAAACUGGGGCUAAUACCGGAUAGGAGCUCCUGCUGCAUGGUGGGGGUUGGAAAGUUUCGGCGGUUGGGGGUGGACUCGCGGCUUAUCAGCUUGUUGGUGGGGUAGUGGCUUACCAAGGCUUUGACGGGUAGCCGGCCUGUGAGGGUUACCGGCCACAAUGGGAAUGAGAUACGGACCAGAAUCCUACGGGAGGCAGCAGUGGGGAAUAUUGCACAAUGGGCGGAAGCCUGAUGCAGAAACGCCGCGUGCGGGAUGAAGGCCUUCGGGUUGUAAACCGAUUUCGCCUGUGACGAAGCGUGAGUGACGGUAAUGGGUAAAGAAGCACCGGCUAACUACGUG